This is a long non-coding RNA of Mya arenaria, 240 nucleotides long. RefSeq lists it as uncharacterized. The record is from RefSeq and is a predicted model, not a curated record. The transcript has 3 exons. Lineage: Eukaryota; Metazoa; Mollusca; Bivalvia; Myida; Myidae.
CAUGACAAAUAUGACUGGAUAGAAUCAACGGCGCUCUGUUCUACGCAUCCGCACGCUUACCUUGCUGAUGUUACUGAUAACUCAGAGAACGCGUUUAUCAAGGGGCUCAUUGUCAACAGGUUCGCCAAUGCAAGAGAUGCUCAUGUUUGGCUUGGAGCUACAGAUGAAAUAACCGAAGGGGAGUUCGUCUGGAAUGUCAGUAAUCAGAAGGUCAACUACACAGACUGGGGUCCUGGUGAG